Molecule: ribosomal RNA, 775 nt
Filed under: uncultured bacterium
Lineage: Bacteria
Description: bacterial SSU rRNA
Rfam family: Bacterial small subunit ribosomal RNA
Source: RNAcentral
AGAGUUUGAUCCUGGCUCAGGACGAACGCUGGCGGCGUGCUUAACACAUGCAAGUCGAACGGAAAGGCCCCUUCGGGGGUACUCGAGUGGCGAACGGGUGAGUAACACGUGGGUGAUCUGCCCUGCACUUUGGGAUAAGCCUGGGAAACUGGGUCUAAUACCGAAUAGGACCGCAUGCUUCAUGGUGUGUGGUGGAAAGCUUUUGCGGUGUGGGAUGGGCCCGCGGCCUAUCAGCUUGUUGGUGGGGUAAUGGCCUACCAAGGCGACGACGGGUAGCCGGCCUGAGAGGGUGUCCGGCCACACUGGGACUGAGAUACGGCCCAGACUCCUACGGGAGGCAGCAGUGGGGAAUAUUGCACAAUGGGCGCAAGCCUGAUGCAGCGACGCCGCGUGAGGGAUGACGGCCUUCGGGUUGUAAACCUCUUUCACCAGGGACGAAGCGCAAGUGACGGUACCUGGAGAAGAAGCACCGGCCAACUACGUGCCAGCAGCCGCGGUAAUACGUAGGGUGCGAGCGUUGUCCGGAAUUACUGGGCGUAAAGAGCUCGUAGGUGGUUUGUCGCGUUGUUCGUGAAAACUCACAGCUUAACUGUGGGCGUGCGGGCGAUACGGGCAGACUAGAGUACUGCAGGGGAGACUGGAAUUCCUGGUGUAGCGGUGGAAUGCGCAGAUAUCAGGAGGAACACCGGUGGCGAAGGCGGGUCUCUGGGCAGUAACUGACGCUGAGGAGCGAAAGCGUGGGGAGCGAACAGGAUUAGAUACCCCGGUAGUCCAA